RNAcentral lists this transfer RNA (74 nucleotides) under Candidatus Parcubacteria bacterium. RNAcentral's name for it is "tRNA-Lys". It matches the Rfam family "tRNA". Rfam says of the family: Transfer RNA (tRNA) molecules are approximately 80 nucleotides in length. Lineage: Bacteria; Candidatus Parcubacteria. The record is from RNAcentral.
GCCCCCGUAGCUCAGCUGGUAGAGCAGCCGCCUCUUAAGCGGAAGGUUCGCAGGUUCGAAUCCUGCCGGGGGCA